UACGUAGGGCGCAAGCGUUGUCCGGAAUUAUUGGGCGUAAAGAGCUCGUAGGCGGUUUGUCGCGUCUGUCGUGAAAGCUUGGGGCUUAACCCCAAGUCUGCGGUGGAUACGGGCAGACUAGAGGCAGGUAGGGGAGAACGGAAUUCCUGGUGUAGCGGUGGAAUGCGCAGAUAUCAGGAGGAACACCAAUAGCGAAGGCAGCUCGCUGGGACGGUACUGACGCUAAGGCGCGAAAGCGUGGGGAGCGAACAGG
Molecule: ribosomal RNA, 253 nt
Filed under: uncultured bacterium
Lineage: Bacteria
Description: partial 16S ribosomal RNA
Rfam family: Bacterial small subunit ribosomal RNA
Source: RNAcentral